RNAcentral lists this long non-coding RNA (409 nucleotides) under Homo sapiens (human). RNAcentral's name for it is "HSALNT0199601". Lineage: Eukaryota; Metazoa; Chordata; Mammalia; Primates; Hominidae. The record is from RNAcentral.
UAAGGAAAAACAGUGCUAUUUUAGAAAACUUUAACAGUGUGAUGGUCACAGAAAAUACCAUGAUCUUAACAAAAAUAUCAGGGAAAUAAAAAAGACAUAGUACAAAAGUAAAGAAAGGGGGAGAACAGAAAUUGAAGCACUGAAAGAAGAUUGGAUCUGGCAACUGAGACUUUAUGUUGGGGGAGGAAGAAACUGGUAGAGAGAGGGCUAAAGAGGUGAAGCAGCAGCUCCUCGCUGGCCGGGGUGGAAAGGAGGCUUGACUGCCACAGAUAUAGGUGGCGACUAAUGGGCUCAAGGCUCAGUGCUCCACAGUGGGGAAGGAAGUUGGGGAUAAGAUGGAAGCAGACUGAGGAAAGAACAGGUCAAGGUAGUAUAAAAAGAAAAAGAACAUCAAUUAGUUGAAACAUGU